This 224-nucleotide ribosomal RNA is filed under the name Stenotrophomonas maltophilia. Its description in RNAcentral is "partial 16S ribosomal RNA". It matches the Rfam family "Bacterial small subunit ribosomal RNA", at positions 553 to 778 of the family's 1533-position model. The record is from RNAcentral. Lineage: Bacteria; Pseudomonadati; Pseudomonadota; Gammaproteobacteria; Lysobacterales; Lysobacteraceae.
ACUGGGCGUAAGCGUGCGUAGGUGGUCGUUUAAGUCCGUUGUGAAAGCCCUGGGCUCACCUGGGAACUGCAGUGGAUACUGGGCGACUAGAAUGUGGUAGAGGGUAGCGGAAUUCCUGGUGUAUCAGUGAAAUGCGUACAGAUCAGGAGGAACAUCCAUGGCGAAGGCAGCUACCUGUAUCUCCAUUGUCACUGAGGCACGAAAGCGUGGGGAGCAAACAGGAU